Molecule: ribosomal RNA, 253 nt
Filed under: uncultured bacterium
Lineage: Bacteria
Description: partial 16S ribosomal RNA
Rfam family: Bacterial small subunit ribosomal RNA
Source: RNAcentral
UACGGAGGGGGCGAGCGUUAUUCGGAAUUAUUGGGCGUAAAGGGCGCGUAGGCGGCUUGAUAAGUCAAAGGUGAAAUCCCUCGGCUCAACUGAGGAACUGCCUUUGAAACUGUCUGGCUUGAGGCCGGGAGGGGGUAGCGGAAUUCCCAGUGUAGCGGUGAAAUGCGUAGAUACUGGGAGGAACACCGGUGGCGAAGGCGGCUACCUGGACCGGUUCUGACGCUGAUGCGCGAAAGCGUGGGGAGCGAACAGG